GAUGAACGCUGGCGGCGUGCCUAAUACAUGCAAGUCGAGCGAACAGAUGAUGAGCUUGCUCCUCUGACGUUAGCGGCUGACGGGUGAGUAACACGUGGAUAACCUACCUAUAAGACUGGGAUAACUUCGGGAAACCGGAGCUAAUACCGGAUAAUAUAUUGAACCGCAUGGUUCAAUAGUGAAAGACGGUUUUGCUGUCACUUAUAGAUGGAUCCGCGCCGCAUGAGCUAGUUGGUAAGGUAACGGCUUACCAAGCCAACGAUGCGUAGCCGACCUGAGAGGACGACCAGCCACACUGGGACUGAGACACGGCCCAGACUCCUACGGGAGGCAGCAGUGGGGAAGGUUGGACAAUGGGCGCAAGCCUGAUCCAGCCAUGCCGCGUGCGGGAAGAAGGCCUUCGGGUUGUAAACCGCUUUUGUCAGGGAAGAAAAGGUUCUGGCUAAUACCUGGGACUCAUGACGGGACCUGAAGAAUAAGCACCGGCUAACUACGUG
RNAcentral lists this ribosomal RNA (497 nucleotides) under uncultured bacterium. RNAcentral describes it as "partial 16S ribosomal RNA". It matches the Rfam family "Bacterial small subunit ribosomal RNA", at positions 28 to 507 of the family's 1533-position model. The record is from RNAcentral.